RNAcentral lists this ribosomal RNA (614 nucleotides) under uncultured bacterium. Its description in RNAcentral is "bacterial SSU rRNA". It matches the Rfam family "Bacterial small subunit ribosomal RNA", at positions 338 to 954 of the family's 1533-position model. The record is from RNAcentral.
CCUACGGGAGGCAGCAGUGAGGAAUAUUGGACAAUGGGCGCAAGCCUGAUCCAGCCAUGCCGCGUGCAGGAAGAAGCAUCUAUGGUGUGUAAACUGCUUUUGUACAGGAAGAAACACUCCCUCGUGAGGGAGCUUGACGGUACUGUAAGAAUAAGGACCGGCUAACUCCGUGCCAGCAGCCGCGGUAAUACGGAGGGUCCGAGCGUUAUCCGGAAUCAUUGGGUUUAAAGGGUCCGUAGGCGGUUUAAUAAGUCAGUGGUGAAAUCUGGUCGCUCAACGAUCAAACGGCCAUUGAUACUGUUAGACUUGAAUUAUAAGGAAGUAACUAGAAUAUGUAGUGUAGCGGUGAAAUGCUUAGAUAUUACAUGGAAUACCAAUUGCGAAGGCAGGUUACUACUUAUGGAUUGACGCUGAUGGACGAAAGCGUGGGGAGCGAACAGGAUUAGAUACCCUGGUAGUCCACGCCGUAAACGAUGGAUACUAGCUGUUCGGAGCAAUCUGAGUGGCUAAGCGAAAGUGAUAAGUAUCCCACCUGGGGAGUACGUUCGCAAGAAGAGAAGACGAAAGAAAGUAGAGGACGUAGAGAGAGCGACGGACGACACGAGGGGAGGAGG